AGAGUUUGAUCCUGGCUCAGAACGAACGCUGGCGGCACGCCUAACACAUGCAAGUCGAGCGCUUCCCUUCGGGGAGGAGCGGCGGACGGGUUAGUAACGCGUGGGAACAUACCCUUUACUAUGGAAUAGCCUUUGGAAACGAAGAGUAAUACCAUAUACGCCCUUCGGGGGAAAGAUUUAUCGGUGAAGGAUUGGCCCGCGUUAGAUUAGAUAGUUGGUGGGGUAACGGCCUACCAAGUCGACGAUCUAUAGCUGGUUUGAGAGGAUGAUCAGCAACACUGGGACUGAGACACGGCCCAGACUCCUACGGGAGGCAGCAGUGGGGAAUCUUAGACAAUGGGCGCAAGCCUGAUCUAGCGAUGCCGCGUGAGUGACGAAGGCCUUAGGGUCGUAAAGCUCUUUCACCAGGGAAGAUAAUGACGGUACCUGGAAAAGAAACCCCGGCUAACUCCGUGCCAGCAGCCGCGGUAAUACGGAGGGGGUUAGCGUUGUUCGGAAUUACUGGGCGUAAAGCGUACGUAGGCGGAUUAGUAAGUUAGAGGUGAAAUCCCAGGGCUCAACCCUGGAACUGCCUUUAAUACUGCUAGUCUUGAGUUCGAGAGAGGUGAGUGGAAUUCCGAGUGUAGAGGUGAAAUUCGUAGAUAUUCGGAGGAACACCAGUGGCGAAGGCGGCUCACUGGCUCGAUACUGACGCUGAGGUACGAAAGUGUGGGAGAGCAACAGGAUUAGAUACCCUGGUAGUCCACACCGUAAACGAUGAAUGCCAGACGUCAGCAAGCAUGCUUGUUGGUGUCACACCUAACGGAUUAAGCAUUCCGCCUGGGGAGUACGGUCGCAAGAUUAAAACUCAAAGGAAUUGACGG
This 863-nucleotide ribosomal RNA is filed under the name uncultured bacterium. RNAcentral describes it as "bacterial SSU rRNA". It matches the Rfam family "Bacterial small subunit ribosomal RNA", at positions 8 to 916 of the family's 1533-position model. The record is from RNAcentral.